UGGCUCUCGCAUCGAUGAAGAACGCAGCGAAAUGCGAUAAGUAAUGUGAAUUGCAGAAUUCAGUGAAUCAUCGAAUCUUUGAACGCACCUUGCGCCUCUGGGUAUUCCGAGAGGCAUGCCUGUUUGAGUGUCAUGAAACAUCAAUCCCAUUGGGUUUCUCUCCCAAUGGGACUUGGACCUGGGCGUCUGCCGGUCAACGGCUCGCCCCAAAUGACUCAGUGGGAUGAGGACCCCAUGCCUGACGUGAUAAGUUUCGUCUUGGCCGGGGUUCUGUAGCCUGCUCACAACCUGCCCCCGUGGCAACCUUCUGUAACAUUGACCUCAAAUCAGGUAGGGCUACCCGCUGA
Molecule: unclassified non-coding RNA, 347 nt
Filed under: uncultured fungus
Lineage: Eukaryota; Fungi
Description: partial contains 5.8S ribosomal RNA and internal transcribed spacer 2
Rfam family: 5.8S ribosomal RNA (bases 1-133)
Source: RNAcentral